AUGGUCAAGGAUUUGAAAGUCAUCUUUGGAAAGGGUCCUGGCGGACAAUCAGUUCCGAAGGGAGCUGACGGGCACGCAGCCAUGUGGAAGAAGAAAUCUAUAUUCUGGGAGCUAGAAUAUUGGAAAGUCCUAGAUGUCCGCUCUGCAAUCGACGUGAUGCACGUUACGAAGAAUAUUUGCGUGAACCUCCUAAGCUUCUUGGGCGUGUAUGGGAAGAAAAAUGAUACAAAGGAAGCACGGCAGGACCAGCAACGUUUGAAAGACCCUGAUGACCGGCAUCCGGAAUGGUUUCAAGGUCGUGCCAGCUACGCUCUGACCAAAGAAGAGAAGGUCAUCUUUUUUGAAUGCCUGAGCAGUAUGAAGGUCCCGUCUGGAUUCUCGUCCAAUAUAAAGGGAAUAAUAAACAUGGCGGAGAAAAANNNNNNNNNNAGUGUUGGAGCCACACUUGAGGUUCCUCAUUUAUUUUUUCCUCCUCGAUCGCGGUUAGCAACUUGA
This 495-nucleotide ribosomal RNA is filed under the name Triticum aestivum (bread wheat). RNAcentral's name for it is "partial small subunit ribosomal RNA". The record is from RNAcentral. Lineage: Eukaryota; Viridiplantae; Streptophyta; Magnoliopsida; Poales; Poaceae.